RNAcentral lists this ribosomal RNA (253 nucleotides) under uncultured bacterium. Its description in RNAcentral is "partial 16S ribosomal RNA". It matches the Rfam family "Bacterial small subunit ribosomal RNA", at positions 524 to 776 of the family's 1533-position model. The record is from RNAcentral.
UACGGAGGGUGCAAACGUUGCUCGGAAUCAUUGGGCGUAAAGCGCACGUAGGCGGCCUAGUAAGUCGGGUGUGAAAGCCCUGGGCUCAACCCAGGAAGUGCACUCGAAACUGCCAGGCUUGAAUAUGGAAGAGGGUCGCGGAAUUCCCGGUGUAGAGGUGAAAUUCGUAGAUAUCGGGAGGAACACCAGUGGCGAAGGCGGCGACCUGGGCCAAUAUUGACGCUGAGGUGCGAAAGCGUGGGGAGCAAACAGG